RNAcentral lists this ribosomal RNA (461 nucleotides) under uncultured bacterium. RNAcentral describes it as "partial 16S ribosomal RNA". It matches the Rfam family "Bacterial small subunit ribosomal RNA", at positions 338 to 795 of the family's 1533-position model. The record is from RNAcentral.
CCUACGGGUGGCAGCAGUGAGGAAUAUUGGUCAAUGGGCUUACGCCUGAACCAGCCAAGUCGCGUGAGGGAAGACUGCCCUAUGGGUUGUAAACCUCUUUUGUCAGGGAGCAACGCCGGCUACGUGUAGCCGGACUGAGAGUACCUGAAGAAAAAGCAUCGGCGAACUCCGUGCCAGCAGCCGCGGUAAUAAGGAGGAUGCGAGCGUUAUCCGGAUUUAUGGGGUUGAACGGGUGCGUAGGCGGAAUGCCAAGUCAGCGUUAAAAUCGCGGGGCUCACCCGUAAAUUUGCAGUUGAAACUUGCAGUCUUGAGUACAGUAGUGGUGGCCCGAAUUCGUGGUUUAGCGGUGACAUUCUUCGAUCUCACGAAGAACUCCGAUUGCGAAGGCAGCUCACUGGACUGCACCUGACACUGAGGCUCGAAAGUGUGGGUAUCAAACAGGAUUAGAUACCCGUGUAGUC